UUAGCAUAACAACAUUCUUUAAACAUGAACAGUCUCUUUCAUUUCUUUUUCUUCUUCUUUCUCCUCUUCACUUCUCAAAUUGUAUUACUUCACGCCAUCGACCGGCCACCGCCGGCCCGAUUUUCCGGUCCGUCGUCGGCGAGAAAACAUCAAGUUUUUCAACCUCAGGCAAGUGCUCCGUUUGCUCGAGACUUAGAGUCCGAUAAGAGGAGAGUGCCCACUGGACCAAAUCCUCUGCACAACAAGAAAAGAAAGGCUUGAAAUUACUAUUACUACUACUACUGGUUUAUCCGUUAGAGGUAUAUGAUAGACCCUGGUGGUCUAGCCUGCGCUGGACUGUCUUUUUUUAUAUGCCCGAGUUGGGUCAAUCGUAAACAAUCUCUCGCCCUUCAUAUGGUUGGAGUAAGAUCUGCGUCAUAUUAUUCUCCUUAUACCCCACUUGUGAGAUUAUACUAAGUUUAAUUUGUUAAUGUUGUUAUUGUAUAGGCUCGAGUGCUCACUUAUUUACCUUUUCUAGCAACAGUCCCCUUUAUUUUACCUAUAGCCAAAGAAUAUAUUAUUGCCUCCUACUAGUAUAUUUCCACGGAUAUACCACCUUUAAUUUGUAGCCUUA
Molecule: non-coding RNA, 613 nt
Organism: Nicotiana tabacum (common tobacco)
Lineage: Eukaryota; Viridiplantae; Streptophyta; Magnoliopsida; Solanales; Solanaceae
Source: RefSeq, a predicted model, not a curated record